Molecule: small nuclear RNA, 107 nt
Organism: Nannospalax galili (Upper Galilee mountains blind mole rat)
Lineage: Eukaryota; Metazoa; Chordata; Mammalia; Rodentia; Spalacidae
Source: Ensembl
UUGCUUGCUUUGGCAGCACAUGUACUAAAAUUGAAAUGGUCCUGAGAAGAUUGCUAUGGCCCCUGUGCAAGGAUGACAUGCAAGGUGGUGAAGUCUCAAAUUUGUUU